UGCGGCCUCAGGCGGGCGCGGGGCUCGAACCUGCGGCCCCUCCGCUGCGGGGAGGCGGGGCUUCUGCCUAACCGCCGCCCGAGGCGGCCACUCAACGGCUGGCGGGGGCGGGGCGCCACCGUGACGUCAGGGCGAGGGCGCCGGGUUGCCAGGUCAGCAGCAGUCUCGGCGGGUAACCAUGUAGUGCUUAAAAGAGAGGCAGCCUCCGUGCUGAACCUUACAGUCAUAAAUAUUUACCGGUAUCCACUAAUGCCUGGUAGCACGCUGGUCCCCAGUCCCCUAUGAAUUCAUCACUGCCGCAUUCUGCUUCGCCCCAGAAACUUAGCCCAAGCCUUGAGAACAGCACCAUUCAGAAACAGAGGCAAGAACUCCAGCUUUUAAUUGCAGAACUGAAAGAUCGUGAUAAGGAACUCAAUGAUAUGGUUGCAGUGCAUCAGAGACAGCUUCUAGCCUGGGAAGAUGAUCGGCAAAAAAUACUGACUUUAGCAGAACGAUGCAAUUUGUUAAACAAUGAGCUGAACAAGAGAAAUGAAAUUAUAAAAUCACUGACCAAAAAGUUAAAGUUCUUAGAAUCCCAGCAGAAUGACAAUAAGACAACACUUGAAAAUACACAACAGAAGUUUAAAGAGCUGUCUCAAAAAGCAACAGAUGCAAGUCUUCACUGUCAGGCUCUGGAGGAGAAAAAUCAAAGUCUCCACUGCUCAGUUUUGGAACUGUCUGCUAAAACAGGUCAGCUGCAAGCGAGAGAACAGGAGCUUCUUACUAUGCUUAAGCUGAAGGAUGAGGUUAUACUUGAAACAACUGAUCACAUUACUGAGUUUACAUCUAAAUUCAAAAAGCUGGAAAGUGCAUUGCGUGUGGCAAAGACGGAGGAAUUCAGUCUCAACAAAGAAAAGCAAGACCUCAGACUGAGACUGAAAGACCUAAUACUUGAAACAAAUAAGCUGAAAGAUGACCUCUGCGAAAAGAUGAAAGAAAAUAAUAAGCAACAGGAAGAAAUUCUUCACCUCAGACAAGAAAACAGCUGCUUGAGGAACGAGCUCGCGCUUAGUGUUGAGAAAGCAAAGAGAAAGGAUCAACUUCUUCAGUCUGCCAAGUCUAAACAAGCGCGGACUGACGCAGAACUGUCAAGUUUGCGACAGAUCUACGUAAAACAGCAGCGUGACUUGCAAUUUCUUCAUGUCAAUUUAGAGAGCUCUCAGGAAUUAAGGCAAAAGCAUGAAAAGGUGGCACAUGAAAGGAGCAUAGGUAUGGCAUUCCCUGCCUCUGAAAGCAACAGCAAGACAGACUCGGUUAGGACUGAGGGCACUCAUGGGACAUCCGAGGAGUGUGGAACUGCGCAAGUUCCAAACAGUAGGGUAAAAACCACCUCUGAGGUGUGUGAAGUAGAUAAUAGACUGUUACUGAAUGCAUCAGACUUGGAGGAAACUACCUCAGCGUACUUAAACCGGUGUCAAAAAGUUGUGAAAGUCUUGGCUGUCCUUAGGGAAGAAGAAGAAAAGCAGGAUGUUGCAUCAAGCUCUGAUGAGCUAGGCAGCAAAGUAUUUUGUGAGGCAAACAACUCAAGGCCAUUGAGAAACAGGGAUAUUUCUGAGAAUGGAGUGGAAAGCAGAGACCAACAAACCUUUGAGUCAUCUUUACCUGAAUAUGAGCAUUGGCUUAACGUCAGUUCUUGUGUAGAUUCGCAAAGUACUUUGAUCCAGAACACCAUCACAUUUGACAAAACUGAUGAUGAAAAUAAAACCUGGGAAGAAGGAACUGGAAUUCUGUUUGGCCAAAAAAGCAGAGAGAUUCCUGCUGCGAUUCACAAGUCUGAAUCUGAUUCCUGUAGUAAUAACUUCAUUAUAAAAAAAGAUGCACGGUGGAAGCGAAUAUCAGAUCCGGAAUGGUUGAAGAUUUUCAAACCCAUAAAAGGAGAUGGAAGUAUAUGGCAUGGAAAAGAUUGCAGCUGUCUCAAGACUGCACAAGAGAUGAAAUGUGCCAGCUCAAAAAGUGAAGAAAACGUGGAUCUGAAUUCUUUUCACUUGGAUUCUCCCUGUUUGACAUCCACCCAGAAAGGAGACAGGCCUCAAAGAUGUGAGAAAUUCUCUGAUGAAGACUUCCUUCUGGAGAUAAAUAACCUUUCAGUGACUAAGCCAACAAGUAGAUGCUGCAGUGCUACCAUGGACCAAGACACCGGUUCCCCCAUAAGUAAGCUGCAGCAUGCGUUGGCCGAGUCUCGACAGAUGGUUGCUGAUCUGGAGCUUAGCACUCUCCUCCACGCGAACCCUCGCUGCAGUCCAAACAGCAGCAGCAUUAAUAUGACAGCAGAACUUGCAGAAGCUCUUCACAGAUCCCAGUUAUCAGCUGCAGAAGGAAGAGACGCUAAGCUUCCAUUCUUUUCUCUAUGAUGUUCCGUGAGUAUGAAGGGAUCGCUGCUUUUCCGAAAAAGAGCCCUGAGGUAAAAGAAGCUGAAGGUUUUAUAGAUCGAAGCCAGCACUGUGACUUGCAUCCUGAAACUACUGAUGUUAAAAAGUUUCAGGAGCAAAUCCCCAAAAUUGCUGAGCACCAUGCUGAUACAGCAAAGCGUGGAUGGAGAAGUUUCCAAUACAGAAUUAAUUUUGAGAACUGAAGAUCAUCAGCCCAUCAGCUACAAUGGAAAGUUACCUCACUUUUUUCCAUGGUUCCCUGAGUGUUUGAAAGACUCACAAGUGGCAAAAAGAUGUGACUAUGCGGGAAUGUAUUUUAUCUUGAAAUAAAGCAUGGAAUUAUGCCAAGAUUAACAAAACUAUUUUUAUAGCUGAGAGCUCAGGUUCAAUACCAGCUUGUUUUUUAAGAAUCCUGUGUGUGUAAUUGUUACAACAUAGGAACUAUUUUUCUUCCUUUUUUUUAAUGGUAGCUCAGAAAUAUUUAUAGAGUAUGACACAGCCAGGCAUUCUCUUUUUUUUGUUGUUGUUAGUUUAUUGUUUUUGUUCUGGACUUCUUGCCAUGUAGAGAGAGAUGAAUAAUGUUUGUAAGAAGUUCUCAGUUAGUGGUGUAACCAGGAACUGCCUCCUGCGUUGUUGAAAGGGGAGAGCUGUCACCCACAAGAUGGGCGAAACAGCUCUUCCCCAGUCGGGAGCUACUUACUCUAACAAAAACUUAGAGCAAGGCCAGGUGUGCGUAUGGGCUCUGUUACGGCAGCAGCCAAGGGUAAUGUGACCGGUUUUAGCAUUGAAACUGGUUUUAUCUUUGGUUGUUGGGCGAGACGUAUUCCGUUAUCACACUUUGAACUUAUUUUUUAACUAAAAGAUCAAAGAAGCUAAUAAAGAUGAUACCUUUGCUGUA
Molecule: RNA transcript, 3306 nt
Organism: Grus americana (Whooping crane)
Lineage: Eukaryota; Metazoa; Chordata; Aves; Gruiformes; Gruidae
Gene: CCDC62
Gene name: coiled-coil domain containing 62
Exons: 15
Source: RefSeq, a predicted model, not a curated record